RNAcentral lists this ribosomal RNA (491 nucleotides) under uncultured bacterium. RNAcentral describes it as "partial 16S ribosomal RNA". It matches the Rfam family "Bacterial small subunit ribosomal RNA", at positions 29 to 506 of the family's 1533-position model. The record is from RNAcentral.
AGUGAACGCUGGCGGUAGGCCUAACACAUGCAAGUCGAACGGCAGCACAGUAAGAGCUUGCUCUUACGGGUGGCGAGUGGCGGACGGGUGAGGAAUACAUCGGAAUCUACUUUUUCGUGGGGGAUAACGUAGGGAAACUUACGCUAAUACCGCAUACGACCUACGGGUGAAAGCAGGGGAUCUUCGGACCUUGCGCGAUUGAAUGAGCCGAUGUCGGAUUAGCUAGUUGGCGGGGUAAAGGCCCACCAAGGCGACGAUCCGUAGCUGGUCUGAGAGGAUGAUCAGCCAAACUGGAACUGAGAAACGGUCCAGACUCCUACGGGAGGCAGCAGUGGGGAAUAUUGGACAAUGGGCGCAAGCCUGAUCCAGCCAUACAGCGUGGGUGAAGAAGGCCUUCGGGUUGUAAAGCCCUUUUGUUGGGAAAGAAAAGCAGCAGGUUAAUACCCCGCUGUUCGGACGGUACCCAAAGAAUAAGCACCGGCGAACUUCGU